Carlito syrichta (Philippine tarsier) is the source of this 1179-nucleotide RNA transcript. It is a transcript of the gene named translocation protein SEC62 pseudogene, with no coding region annotated. The record is from RefSeq and is a predicted model, not a curated record. NCBI's taxonomy places the organism in Eukaryota, Metazoa, Chordata, Mammalia, Primates, Tarsiidae. The transcript has a single exon.
AUGGUAGAGCGAAGGCAGAAGAAUUGGGUCCAGGAUGCUGGUGAACCAUCUAAAGAAGCGAAGGCUGUAGCCAAGUAUCUUCAAUCCAACAAAGUCCACCAAUAUGAAGGAUCACCAGGUUGGUUAUUUUAUUGAUUCAAAAGCAGUGGAUUGCCUUUUGAUUCAAAGUGGGCAAAGGCCAAGAAAGGAGAAGAAGCUUUAUUGACAACCAGAGAAUCUUGGUUGACUACUACAACAGGCUUUUAAAGAAGCAGUUUUUUCACCAGGCACUGAAAGUAAUGAAAAUGAAAUAUGAUAAAGACAUAAAGAAAGAAAAAGAUAAAGGAAAAGCUGAAAGUGGAAAAGAAGAAGAUAAAAAGAGCAAGCAAGAAAAUAUAAAAGAUGAAAGGGCAAAAAAAGGAAAAAGGGAAAAAAAAGAUGCCGAAAAGGAAGGAUCCAAAAUGAAGGAACUCUCCAAAAGAAGGAAACUAAGAAAAGGUCAAAUUUGGACCACAUGAUGACCAAGUUUUUCGGGAUGGAAAUGAGGUAUAUGCGUGAAUCUAUGACCCAGUUCACUUUAAAAUAUUUGUCAUUGGGAUAAUUCUUGUGAUUUCAGUAACAGUGGCCACUUUCUUUCCUCUCUGGUCAGUAGAAAUGAGAGUAGGUAUUUAUUACCUCAGUGUGGGUGCAGGCUGUUUUGUAACCAGUAUUCUUCUCCCUGCUGUUGCUCGUUGCAUAAGGCUUCUCAUCAUCUGGCUCAUCACCAGGGGAAGGCACCACUUCUGGUUCUUGCCAAACCUGACUGGUGACGUGGGCUUCAUAGACUCCUUCAGGCCCCUGUACACACAUGAAUACAAGGGACCAAAAGCAGACUCAAAGAAAAAUGAGAAACCAAAAAUGAAAAAGCACCAGAAGUCCGACAGUGAGGAGAAGACAGCCAGUGAUGAGGAGAAGGAGGAAGAGGAGGAAGGAAAGGCAGGUCCAGGAAGUCAUGGGGCAGAGGGCUGCGGUGGAGAGUGACACUCGGACACAGACAGUGACUGGAGAGAAGAUGACUGGGUCCCAGCACAGUAGUGGGAACGGGAACAAUUUCGAAAUGAUAAGAAAAGAGGCACUGGAACAGCAGACAGAUAAAGAUUGUGAAGAGGAGAGGAAGGCAAUGAUGGUGAGACACCUAAAUCCUCACAUAAAAAGUCAUAA